AGAGGAUAUUCUUAGUACCUGAGCUAGACCUCCAGCGUGUAUCAGCGUGACAUCAGGCAUCCAGGAACAUCCAGGAACCACUAAGCCAUAAAGCGCAAUCACAAAGUAAGGGACAGAAUAGAACAUAUACGCCAGCAUCUGUAUUGAACAGAGAAAUCACAUCGUCAGCAAAUUAGCAGUUAACGGCCUGAGAUCUUGCUACAUGAUCUAAUACCUAUAAAAGGAAGAAACUUAGAAAGACAAACUAGCUUUGAAAUGAAGACCUUAACAGAGUACCUGCCAGGCCAGUAUUGUUUCACCUUGACCACCUUGGCUGUGGAUGGAAGACAGAUGUCUCAGAAGAUGUCUCCAUGGGCCUGGAUCUCCUGGGAAGCAGACCCUAUGGCUACGUGGACUAUCUCUCCAGCAUCCUCUCAGGACAGUAAAUAUAUAGGAAAUUAUGCUGGCUACACUGAUGUUCUGUUAAACUACACCAUGGUCAUCACGGCCAAAGGACUCCUGCAUUUCCAUGCUAUGUAUGAAACCCACAGCAUGAAAGGAAAAAGUUUGAAGAAGAAAGGAAAUUGGAUUCAUAUUCCAAAUCAUUAAGACGCUGUGGACAUCAUCAACACAGAAUAGACCCUCUGCACAUCCAGCCAGAUCUCUGCCUGUGUUAAUGGAGCCCCCAUCCCUGCCCAGUGCUCUCACACAGGGAACGGGACUAAGAGUAACAAAGUCACCGCUGACUCGGUCCCAGAAGAUCCCACAGGCCAUCCUGCCCAUCCUCCACUCCCCUGCACGCGCUGCCAGAGCCAAGCCCACAUCCCACCUGGGCAGUGGGCGCAAAGCCAGUAACCAGGUGGCCAAGGAAGCAGAGAGGUGACCGCCAGGUUUAAAACAAUGCCGCAGAUGAGGUGAUGCAUCCCAAUGAUGGCCGAGAGGCCCACUCACAGUGUGCCCGCGUCUGCCCUGCUCCACACUGGAGCUCCCGAAGACAAGCAGGAUGCUGAUGUACAAAGUGACAAUGGCUUUAAGAAAAAAAGCCAGUGAUUUUAAAAAAUGAAAACAAGAUGGUACAACUGAAUAUCGAAGAAGAAAAGCUGUAGCGUCGUAGAGAAUCUUACUAGAGUUGUGGGCGUCUCCUAAACGGGCUUAAAACUACUAGCCGCAAAUAGCUACGGGACAACAGUUACUAAACAGCGGGUGAUGAAAUCCAGUGCAUGUCAGUUUGCUAAAGCUGCAUUUCCAAGUUGUCAUAAGUCGGUGUCUCAGACAAUGGGAUGGGCAUGGACAGCAGAAAAAUCUGACAGUGAAUAUAAGAAAAGCUGUGAAAGAAGAAAUGGAGAGGAGAGAGGAGAAGGUGGACUCGCAGAGAAGAGAAGCCAGCCUUGCCCAGAGCCUGCAGCCAGGAGCGCGCCAUUCACAUCUGCCCAGCCAGGAGCGCGAGGCCUGCCCCUGCACUGUCCGGCAGACGUGCCUUCCCCGCGCCUCCACGGAGGCCUUCGGCCCAGUUCUCACCGACAGCAUCACUUUCUGACACUCGUGUUUCGGAACCCUCCAGGGUGAUUAGCCAUCAUACGUCUCCCAGGGAAGGAAGUGCUCGGCACGUCAUCUACCAGUGACCGCUGAUGCCAACAGGGACACUGUCUCUGCUUUCUAGUGGGCGAGGAGUCUGGCCUGGGCCCUGACCCUGAGGCUGCAGCGUGCUCAAAGCUGUGACAGCGACCAGGACAGGGGACUGAGGCUGUAGGAGAGUAGGCAUCCGGCCUUGAAGAGUCAUCAGGACAGUUAGCGUGGACUCUGUGGACUGGGGAGGGAGAAGGGGACAGACGGCACAGGAGACCAGCCUGGAAGGGCGGAUGGGCCUGGUGGUCAGAGGACCCAGCUCAUCUGCUGACGCUGCGAAACCGUAGGCAAGUUACAUCAUUUCUCCAGGCUUCACUUGUUUAUAUGUGGAUUGGGAGAAACUAAUCACUCAAAAUUAUUGUUUCUCACCCCACCUUUGCCAAGGUCCACUGUGGGCAGAGAAUGCUCCCCGUGCCAUUGAUGAUGGGCUCAGCCCUGUGAUUCUUCAGCCACUGAAUGUGGGUGGAAGUGACAGGGGGCAGCUCCCACCCAAGGCCACCAGCCCCUCUGUGCCUCUGAACCUGCACGAGAAGGGCACACCCUGGGGAGCUGCUGGUCCAAGAACAAGGAAACACAUAGAACAGCCCUGAAUCCAACCCACAGCCUGAAGCAGAGUGGCCCCCGCCAACCCACAAACCCGAGAGCAAGAAAAACAAAUGUCCAUGGCUGUAGGAUUUGGGGAGUAUUUGAUAUGCAGCAUCACUGAAGCAGAAAUUAAAGAACAAAAUGUCCAGCAAAGUGCCCGGCACAGGAAGUGCUCAGAUGCAGUAACAGCUUUGCUUCAGGCACAUGAAAGGGCACAGGCUGUGGGGGUCAAUGCUGUUCUCACGAGUCACGUGACCGUGACCACAUUUCGUGGCAUCUCUGAGCCAGCAUCUUCAUUUGCCAGUGGAGGGACUGUGAGGAUUAAAUAGAGCAAUACCACUAAAAGGCUCAGAGCCGUACAAGGCACACUCAAGGCAUUAUUAUUUAUUUACCAUACAUGUAUAUUUGCCAGGCACUGUUCUAAAUACUUUACAAGUACUAUCUUAAUGUAUCAACUCUCCAUGGCAGGUGCUAUUGAUUUUCCUCUUUAUGCAAAUGAACAGGGGAGAUGAGGUACCACUAAGUUCGGCACUAGGUGGAGGGGACUGCAAGUAGCAGGCUGAAGGCAGGAAGCCCAGAGGGGCUGGUACAGGAGUCAAGUCAGAGGUCAGAGGUCAAAGCAUGCUGGGGAUUUGGGAGCAAAGAAUGGAGGGGCGCCCUGCCUGGCCCUGGCAGGAACCCUCCACCAGGACCCCACCUGGGAGAGAGUGGGGUCUGGAGCCCUGGAGAGGUGACAGCUUGGAGGCAAGGGCCGCGUGGUCCCGCAGCACCUGCACUUCCAGCCACCGUGACCGAUGGGCUCAGCAUUCACAACCAAGGAGGAAUAUGUGACUGAGGCCAGAAGUAUUACGUAAUUAAGCAGACACAAAUGAUUUCCCUCCGGGGAGACAUACCGUAGAACAGCGGGUCCCGGGGUGGCUUUCUUUUGACAAGGACACGAGCCAGCAGGGCUACCAGCAGCAGGAUGAGGGCAGCAACCCCUACAAUUGUCCAGGAACUGCAACAACCAGAACAGGGAGGUGGUCACUAACAAAAUAAACACAAUGGUGCCUGGAAUUUCCUGCCUAUUGAAUGCACUCUCUCCCAGCGCUGCGUAAUUCAUACAUAAUUCUGCCUCUGCCUGCAGCCCAUGGCACCGUAGAGUUCGUGAAGUUUCUCUGCAACACUUUGGCCGGUCUGGGCCACAGCCCCUGGUUUCCAGGGACCAGAGCCAACAGGCCCUCACUCUCCUC
Molecule: long non-coding RNA, 3422 nt
Organism: Lemur catta (Ring-tailed lemur)
Lineage: Eukaryota; Metazoa; Chordata; Mammalia; Primates; Lemuridae
Exons: 4
Source: RefSeq, a predicted model, not a curated record